GACGAACGCUGGCGGCGUGCUUAACACAUGCAAGUCGAACGGAAAGGCCCUGCUUUUGUGGGGUGCUCGAGUGGCGAACGGGUGAGUAACACGUGAGUAACCUGCCCUUGACUUUGGGAUAACUUCAGGAAACUGGGGCUAAUACCGGAUAGGAGCUCCUGCUGCAUGGUGGGGGUUGGAAAGUUUCGGCGGGUGGGGAUGGACGCGCGGCUGAUCAGCUUGUUGGUGGGGUAGUGGCUUACCAAGGCUUUGACGGGUAGCCGGCCUGGGAGGGUGACCGGCGACCAGGGGACUACGAGACGGCGCAGAGUGGUACGGGAGGCAGCGGUCGGGAAUAUGGCACAAUGGGCGGAAGUCUGAGGAGGAGACGCCGGGUGUGGGAUGCCGGCCUGUGGGGUGUAAAAAGCUUUAGCCUGUGACGAAGCGUGAGUGACGGUAAUGGGUAAAGAAGCACCGGCUAACUACGUG
Molecule: ribosomal RNA, 468 nt
Filed under: uncultured bacterium
Lineage: Bacteria
Description: partial 16S ribosomal RNA
Rfam family: Bacterial small subunit ribosomal RNA
Source: RNAcentral